AUGCGUAUUACAGAACUCCUCCGCAGUAUUGUUGUUGUUGUCGGUGCUAUUGUUCUUGCCUUUGAGGGCUUGUAACAUCGUUGGGAAAAUGUGAUGGUAAACCUGGAAAAUGCCACAGAAACAGCGACAACUCCAAGCUGUGCACUUGAGGGCUAGGGGCCUGUUGGAGAAAUAAUAACGAAACAACAGAUAACGUUGUCUGAACAUUUACUGUGUGUGGUGGAAUAUAAUAUCUUCAACAGAUUUUUUGAGUGUUUUUAUAGGUAGGCUGAUUCCUCAGCCUGAACCUUAUUUGCAAUUAAGGCUACCCCGUGCAGCAGAGUUCAGAAGGCAGGAGUUAGAUGCAGGUGAAAUCGUAGUCCUAAAGAAAGGGGAGGUAAAAGAGAAAAGCUGGACUUUUUCUGUGCCUGGAUAUAUUACAGUAUCGGGAGUAGGACAGGAUGAAGGCGGAGUGAGCAUUUGGUAAUAACCAGUGUGACCGUGGGCAAGUCAUUUACUUUCUAAACCUUCGAACUCAGUAAAACUGAACUAAGAAAGAAUGAAUUACUUUGCAAGGUUGCUGUGAGCAUUGUAAGUAUACAGUCAAUUCACUCAUUUAUUUGGGAUGAUAUUGAGCAGAGUAGACCUGUAGAUGCAUGAGACACGAUUUCUAUCCUUGAGGAUUUUACAGUGGAAAAUGUAAAUAAGCAACCACAAAGCGUGGUAAGCCCUCCCCUAGUCAGCCUAGAAAAGAGUUUUAAGAGGAGGUGAAGCAGGAGCUGAUUUUUUUGAGACCGAGUUUUGCUCUUGUUACCCAGGCUGCAGUGCAGUGGCGCGAUCUCGGCUCCCCGCAACCUCCGCCUCCUGGGUUCAAGAGGAGCUGAUUCUUCAGGGUUACGUGUCCGGUGGACAACAGGAAGGGAAGCGCAGGUGUGAAGAUUUUUUUGAGGCUUCAUGACCACUUACCAGCCAGAGUGACACAGGUACCUUCAUUGAGAAACUUAAACAGGAAGUGAGGACUCCUCGGGGGAGGAGGGAAGCUGCAUCUCAGAAGGAGCUUAGCAGAGACUCGGCUUAUGCACUUACUUUCCAUGCAUCAAGACUGGAUGGAUGAUACGGAAUUCACCAAGGAAGAAAAAGAAGGAAAGAGGGAAGUAGGAAGCAAGUUCAACGGCGAGAGUUUUGGACCUUCUGUCUCCGAAGGACUCAUGCAUUUCCUGGGAGGUGCCAAGCAGGAAAAUGUGCAGGGGGGCCGUAUUCACUCCAGAGCGAAAACCACAGGCGUCAAUACGGUCACCCGUGGAGGAUGUGGAGUGAGAAGAGAAGAGGCCCAAACACUGAAUGGCGGAGACAAGUACACGUGAGAGGAAGCCGGAUUCUGUGAGCAGCAGAUGGAAAUCAGGAAGGAAGGCUGGCUGUGGAAAAGGCCCAGCAGCCAACAUCCGUAGACAGAAGCGCAUCGGAGUAAGGCAGCCACCCCAAGGUGCUGUGGGGCUCAGGGAGUGACAAAGGAAACCACUGCUGGGGUGGUCUGAGCAGGGUGCAUGUGGGCAUAUCUCAAAAUUAUGAUGAAGGGGAAUUCAGUAAUUGAGUUGAGUCUCUCCUCUCAGGUCCCCUUCACUUGUGCUUUGAUGAGCUCUGGCUUUACUUCAAAUGAAAACUGGUUUAUGGCAUCAAUGCCUGUAUCUGCUAACCUGAAUGAAACACAGAUUUCUAUGAUCAGAGAGUUACUUAGUCAAUGAGCCUCACUCUGAGUUCAACAAUGCCAUGUAAGCUAAAAGCCAGCAUUCCUCAUGGAACAGAGGCCCAGGUUAAAUUAAAAUUACAUAUUACCCAACCACAGGGCAAAGCUACACAGUUCUAGGACUCAGGUGGCUACAACUCCUCUGGCAACGACAGGAACUUGCUCUUAAGGAGCUUCAGGUCUAGUGGUGCAGGGAAGCAUUUAGGAAAUCGGAAUGUGGUAAGAACAGCUGAAGACUCUUAACUCAUCCAUGUAUAAGGAACUCUUACAGACCAGGCUUGGUGGCUCAUGGCUAUGAUCUCAGCACUUUGGAAGGCUGUGGACAGAUCAUGAGGUCAAAAGAUCAAGACCAUCCUGGCCAACAUGGUGAAACCCCGUCUCUGCUAAAAAUACAAAAAUUAGCUGGGUGUGGUGGCUUGCACCUGUAGUCCCAGCUACUUGGGAGGCUGAGGCAGAGAAUUGUUUGAACCCAGGAGGCCGAGGUUGCAGUGAGCUGAGAUGGUACCACUGCAGCACUCCAGCCUGGCAACAGCAAGACUCCAUCUAAAGAAAACAAACUCUUACAGGCUGGGCUCAGUGGCUCACACUGUAAUCCCAGCACUUUGGGAGGCUGAGGUGAGCAGAUCACUUGAGGUCAGGAGUUCAAGACCAACCUGGCUGACAUGGUGAAACCCCCUUUCUACUAAAAAUACAAAAAAAUUAGCUGGAUGUGGUGGUAGACACCUGUAUUCCCAGCUACUCAGGAGGCUGAGGCAGGAGAAUCUUUUGAACCUGGAAGGUGGAGGUUGCUGUGAGCCAAGAUCGGGGUGGAGGAAGCAAUGGCGUGUGGCGGGGGCAUGCCGAAGGGGAGCAGCCUGCCACUGCAUUCCUACCU
This is a non-coding RNA of Callithrix jacchus (white-tufted-ear marmoset), 2597 nucleotides long. Lineage: Eukaryota; Metazoa; Chordata; Mammalia; Primates; Cebidae. The record is from RefSeq and is a predicted model, not a curated record.